This 716-nucleotide ribosomal RNA is filed under the name uncultured bacterium. Its description in RNAcentral is "bacterial SSU rRNA". It matches the Rfam family "Bacterial small subunit ribosomal RNA", at positions 69 to 782 of the family's 1533-position model. The record is from RNAcentral.
GCAGCACGGGAGCAUCCUGGUGGCGAGUGGCGAACGGGUGAGUAAUACAUCGGAACGUGCCCAAUCGUGGGGGAUAACGCAGCGAAAGCUGUGCUAAUACCGCAUACGAUCUACGGAUGAAAGCAGGGGACCGCAAGGCCUUGCGCGAAUGGAGCGGCCGAUGGCAGAUUAGGUAGUUGGUGAGGUAAAGGCUCACCAAGCCUUCGAUCUGUAGCUGGUCUGAGAGGACGACCAGCCACACUGGGACUGAGACACGGCCCAGACUCCUACGGGAGGCAGCAGUGGGGAAUUUUGGACAAUGGGCGAAAGCCUGAUCCAGCAAUGCCGCGUGCAGGAUGAAGGCCUUCGGGUUGUAAACUGCUUUUGUACGGAACGAAACGGUUCUUUCUAAUAAAGAGGGCUAAUGACGGUACCGUAAGAAUAAGCACCGGCUAUCUACGUGCCAGCAGCCGCGGUAAUACGUAGGGUGCAAGCGUUAAUCGGAAUUACUGGGCGUAAAGCGUGCGCAGGCGGUUAUGUAAGACAGUUGUGAAAUCCCCGGGCUCAACCUGGGAAUUGCAUCUGUGACUGCAUAGCUAGAGUACGGUAGAGGGGGAUGGAAUUCCCGCGUGUAGCAGUGAAAUGCGUAUAUAUGCGGAGGAACACCGAUGGCGAAGGCAUCCCCUGGACCUGUACUGACGCUCAUGCCCAUAGCGUGGAGGAAGCAACGGAUUAGA